RNAcentral lists this ribosomal RNA (527 nucleotides) under Tritia incrassata. RNAcentral's name for it is "partial 16S ribosomal RNA". It matches the Rfam family "Bacterial large subunit ribosomal RNA", at positions 1808 to 2603 of the family's 2925-position model. The record is from RNAcentral. Lineage: Eukaryota; Metazoa; Mollusca; Gastropoda; Neogastropoda; Nassariidae.
UAAAAACAUGGCUCCUUGAAAACUGAUAAUAAGGAGUCGGACCUGCCCAGUGAAUUUUUUUAACGGCCGCGGUACUCUGACCGUGCAAAGGUAGCAUAAUCAUUUGCCUUAUAAUUGAAGGCUAGUAUGAAUGGUUUGACAUGAAUGUAGCUGUCUCUCUGUAAUUCAACAGAACUUUACUUUCAGGUGAAGAGGCCUGUAUAUAAUUAAAAGACAAGAAGACCCUAUCGAGCUUGAAAGAAACUAAUAGAAUUAUGAUUAAUAUCAUUAAAAGAUUAUCUAUUAUAAAUUUUAGUUGGGGCGACUGAGGAACAUAAAAAGCUUCCUUUAAGAUUUAUUAAAAUCAGACUAGAGUUGAUCCAAAACAUUUUGAUUAAAGGAAUUAGUUACCGUAGGGAUAACAGCAUUAUCUUUUUUAAGAGCUCAUAUCGAAAAAAAGGUUUGUGACCUCGAUGUUGGACCAGAAUAUCCUAAAGGUGCAGCAGCCUUUAAGGGUUGGUCUGUUCGACCAUUAAAAUUCUACGUGA